CUUGGUCAUUUAGAGGAAGUAAAAGUCGUAACAAGGUUUCCGUAGGUGAACCUGCGGAAGGAUCAUUAAUGAAUUAAAGUCGGUCUUCUGUGCUGGUGGUGACACAUGUGCACGUUGAUCGCAAAUCCACACACCUGUGCACCUUUGACUUUAGGAUCUGCUUGUUGGCUUGUCUGACUUGCAGCUGAUGUUGGUUUUGUGCUCACCUGGAUCUUAGAGUAAUUUUACACACUCUGAAUGUAAUGGAAUGUUCCUGUGCAUAAUGCGCAAAAUACAACUUUCAACAACGGAUCUCUUGGCUCUCGCAUCGAUGAAGAACGCAUCGAAAUGUGAUAAGUAAUGUGAAUUGCAGAAUUCAGUGAAUCAUCUAAUCUUUGAACGCACCUUGCACCCUUUGGUAUUCCAAAGGGUACACCCGUUUGAGUGUCAUUGUAAUCUCACUUCAUCAGCUUUUGUUGAUGGAGGUGGACUUGGACUCUGUUGUGUCAUUACAACUGGUCUGAAAUGUGUGAGUGCACCCUGCUGUUGCAGCGUCCUCAGUGUGAUAAGCAUCUUCACUGAAUCAAGUUCCUUUGGGACACGUGUGUAAUGUGGGCUCUGUGCUGGCAAACUGUCUUUGGACAAUCUUGACAAUUUGACCUCAGAUCGAGUGGGACUACCCGCUGAACUUAAGCAUAUCAAUAAGCGGAGGA
Molecule: ribosomal RNA, 692 nt
Filed under: uncultured Sebacinales
Lineage: Eukaryota; Fungi; Basidiomycota; Agaricomycetes; Sebacinales
Description: eukaryotic LSU rRNA
Rfam family: 5.8S ribosomal RNA (bases 276-429)
Source: RNAcentral